GUACUUGCUUCUACAGCACACAUACUGAAAUUGAGACAAUGCAGAGACUGCCAUGGACCCUGAGCAAAGAUGACAUACAAAUUCACCAAAAAUUCCAUUUUUUA
This is a small nuclear RNA of Phodopus roborovskii (desert hamster), 104 nucleotides long. NCBI's taxonomy places the organism in Eukaryota, Metazoa, Chordata, Mammalia, Rodentia, Cricetidae. The record is from RefSeq and is a predicted model, not a curated record.